UCUAGUAGUAGUCCUUUAACGGGUUGGAUCCGGCGCCUCGUGAAGGCUACUAUAGGCUCUCCUUCUCAAAAUCUAUUCGAUGCGUCCGCGACGUACAGAACGGUACCUUGUCGCCCAAAUAUCCAUCAGUUCAUCCUCGAGCGGCUGUCCUCCAUGUUAGGAGCGGC
This 167-nucleotide ribozyme is filed under the name Anopheles sinensis. RNAcentral describes it as "drz-agam-2-2 ribozyme". It matches the Rfam family "drz-agam-2-2 ribozyme", at positions 1 to 170 of the family's 191-position model. Lineage: Eukaryota; Metazoa; Arthropoda; Insecta; Diptera; Culicidae. The record is from Rfam by way of RNAcentral.